UGGGGAAUAUUGGACAAUGGGGGAAACCCUGACCCAGCAACGCCGCGUGAAGGAUGAAGUAUUUCGGUAUGUAAACUUCGAAAGAAUAGGAAGAAUAAAUGACGGUACUAUUUAUAAGGUCCGGCUAACUACGUGCCAGCAGCCGCGGUAAUACGUAGGGACCAAGCGUUGUUCGGAUUUACUGGGCGUAAAGGGCGCGUAGGCGGCAAUUCAAGUCAUCUGUGAAAUCUCCGGGCUUAACUCGGAACGGUCAGAUGAUACUGCUUUGCUAGAGUGCAGAAGGGGCAAUCGGAAUUCUUGGCGUAGCGGUGAAAUGCGUAGAUAUCAAGAGGAACACCUGAGGUGAAGACGGGUUGCUGGGCUGACACUGACGCUGAGGCGCGAAAGCCAGGGGAGCAAACGGGAUUAGAUACCCCCGUAGUCCCUGAGCGGGCUGGCAAGGCGCAU
Molecule: ribosomal RNA, 447 nt
Filed under: uncultured bacterium
Lineage: Bacteria
Description: bacterial SSU rRNA
Rfam family: Bacterial small subunit ribosomal RNA
Source: RNAcentral